RNAcentral lists this ribosomal RNA (1419 nucleotides) under metagenome. Its description in RNAcentral is "SSU rRNA". It matches the Rfam family "Eukaryotic small subunit ribosomal RNA", at positions 380 to 1798 of the family's 1831-position model. The record is from RNAcentral.
AUUCUGGAGAGGGCGCCUGAGAAAUGGCGACCACAUCCAAGGAAGGCAGCAGGCGCGCAAAUUACCCAAUCCUGAUUCAGGGAGGUAGUGACAAUAAAUAACGAUGCUGGGCUUUUCAAGGUCUGGCAAUCGGAAUGAGGACGGUGUAAACAACCUAUCGAGGAUCCACUGAAGGGCAAGUCUGGUGCCAGCAGCCGCGGUAAUACCAGCUUCAGUAGUGUAUAUUAAAGUUGUUGCAGUUAAAAAGCUCGUAGUUGGAUUUCUGGAUCCUUGGUGUGAACCGAUUUACGCAAGUAGAUCUGUGUUUGCUACCUUGGGAAUCCAUUCUCAAUUUUUGGUGAAUACUGUCAGUCCUUUACUGGAUGGAUAGUACUUAGCCAAAUCGUUUACUUUGAAAAAAUUAGAGUGUUCAAAACAGGCUUAUGCCGUGAAUACAUUAGCAUGGAAUAAUAAGAUAGGACUUUGGUUCUAUUUUGUUGGUUUCUAGGACUGAAGUAAUGAUUGAUAGGGAUAGUUGGGGGUGCUCGUAUUCAGUGGCCAGAGGCGAAAUUCUUGGAUUCACUGAAGACGAACUAAUGCGAAAGCAUUCACCAAGGAUGUCUUCUUUAAUCAAGAACGAAAGUUGGGGGAUCGAAGACGAUCAGAUACCGUCGUAGUCUCAACUAUAAACUAUGCCGACUCGGGAUUGGAGGACGUUGUUUUCAUGACUCCUUCAGCACCGCAUGAGAAAUCAAAGUCUUUGGGUUCCGGGGGGUGUAUGGUCGCAAGGCUGAAACUUAAAGGAAUUGACGGAAGGGCACCACCAGGAGUGGAGCCUGCGGCUUAAUUUGACCCAACACGGGGGAACUUACCAGGUCCAGACAUAAAGAGGAUUGACAGAUUGACGAUCUUUCUUGAUCUUAUGGGUGGUGGUGCAUGGCCGUUCUUAGUUGGUGGAGUGAUUUGUCUGGUUUAUUCCGUUAACGAACGAGACCUCAGCCUACUAAAUAGUCAUCUCUAUUCUUCGGGAUAGCGGUUUAAUGACUUCUUAGAGGGACUUUCGAUGAGAGUCGAAGGAAGCUUGAGGCAAAAGCAGGUCUGUGAUGCCCUUAGAUGUUCUGGGCCGCACGCGCGCUACACUGUUGCAUUCAACAAGUAGAUUUCAACCUGGAUCGAUAGAUUUGGGUAAUCUUACAAGGUGCAACGUGAUGGGGAUAGAUCAUUGUAAUUAUUGAUCUUGAACGAGGAAUUCCUAGUAAACGCAAGUCAUCAGCUUGCAUUGAAUACGUCCCUGCCCUUUGUACACACCGCCCGUCGCUCCUACCGAUUGAACGGUCCGGUGAAAUCUCAAGAUCGUGGUACAUUGUUGGGCAACCAGCGGUGUACAUGCGAGAAUUUGCUUGAACCUUACCGUUUAGAGGAAGGAGAAGUCGUAACAAG